Molecule: ribosomal RNA, 863 nt
Filed under: uncultured Chloroflexota bacterium
Lineage: Bacteria; Bacillati; Chloroflexota
Description: bacterial SSU rRNA
Rfam family: Bacterial small subunit ribosomal RNA
Source: RNAcentral
CCGCGGUAAACGUAGAGCAGCGUUAUCCGGAUUUACUGGGCGUAAAGAGCGUUGAGGCGGUUCCGUAAGUUGGGCGUGAAAGCCCCGGGCUUAACCCGGGGAGGUCGUUCAAUACUGCGGGACUUGAGGGCAGCAGAGGGAGGCGGAAUUCCCGGUGUAGCGGUGAAAUGCGUGGAUAUCGGGAGGAACACCAGUGGCGAAGGCGGCCUCCUGGGCUGUUUCUGACGCUGAAGGCGAAAGCUAGGGGAGCGAACGGGAUUAGAAACCCCGGUAGUCCUAGCCGUAAACGAUGGAUGCUGGGUGUGGGGGGUAUAGAUCCCCUCCGUGCCGAAGCUAACGCGUUAAGCAUCCCGCCUGGGGAUUACGGCCGCAAGGCUUAAACUCAAACGAAUUGACGGGGGCCCGCACAAGCAGCGGAGCGUGUGGUUUAAUUCGAUGCUACACGAAGAACCUUACCUGGGCUUGACAUGUAGGUAGUAGUGAAGCGAAAGCGGAACGACCCUUCGGGGAGCCUACACAGGUGCUGCAUGGCUGUCGUCAGUUCGUGCCGUGAGGUGUCGGGUUAAGUCCCGUAACGAACGCAACCCUUGCCCUUAGUUACAUGUGUCUAAGGGGACUGCCCGGGACAACUGGGAGGAAGGUGGGGAUGACGUCAAGUCAGCAUGGCCUUUAUGUCCAGGACUACACACACGCUACAAUGGCCGGUACAAUGGGUCGCCAAGCCGUGAGGCGGAGCCAAUCCCCCAAAGCCGGUCUAAGUUCGGAUUGUGGGCUGCAACUCGCCCAUAUGAAGCUGGAGUUGCUAGUAACCGCGCGUCAGCAAUAGUGCGGUGAAUACGUUCCCGGGCCUUGUACACACCGCC